UACGAGGGGGGCGAGCGUUGUUCGGAAUUAUUGGGCGUAAAGGGUGCGUAGGCGGUUUGGUAAGUCUUAUGUGAAAUCUAUGGGCUCAACUCAUAGACUGCAUGAGAAACUGCCGGGCUUGAGUAUGGGAGAGGUGAGUGGAAUUCCUGGUGUAGCGGUGAAAUGCGUAGAUAUCAGGAGGAACACCGGUGGCGAAGGCGGCCUUCUGGACGGCUACUGACACUGAGACGCGAAAGCGUGGGGAGCAAACAGG
RNAcentral lists this ribosomal RNA (253 nucleotides) under uncultured bacterium. RNAcentral's name for it is "partial 16S ribosomal RNA". It matches the Rfam family "Bacterial small subunit ribosomal RNA", at positions 524 to 776 of the family's 1533-position model. The record is from RNAcentral.